Molecule: unclassified non-coding RNA, 400 nt
Filed under: uncultured fungus
Lineage: Eukaryota; Fungi
Description: sequence contains ITS1
Source: RNAcentral
ACGUCAUCCCCACCUUCCUCCUAUUUACAUAGGCAGUUUGUUACGAGUUCCCGACAUUACUCGCUGGCAACAUAACAUGAGGGUUGCGCUCGUUGCGGGACUUAACCCAACAUUUCACAACACGAGCUGACGACAGCCAUGCACCACCUGUGUACCACCUUCGAAAGCGGCUCCUUUUGGGGAGCUUGCAGGUACAUGUCAAGCCUGGGUAAGGUUCUUCGCGUUGCAUCGAAUUAAGCCAUAUGCUCCACCGCUUGUGCGGGCCCCCGCCAAUUCCUUUGAGUUUCAACCUUGCGGCCGUAGUCCCCAGGCGGAUCACUUAAUGCGUUAGCUGCGGCACCGAGGGAAACCCCCCGACACCUAGUGAUCAUCGUUUAGGGCCGAGACUACCAGGGUAUCU